RNAcentral lists this ribosomal RNA (1576 nucleotides) under Salmonella enterica subsp. enterica serovar Heidelberg. RNAcentral describes it as "partial 23S ribosomal RNA". It matches the Rfam family "Bacterial large subunit ribosomal RNA", at positions 582 to 2141 of the family's 2925-position model. Lineage: Bacteria; Pseudomonadati; Pseudomonadota; Gammaproteobacteria; Enterobacterales; Enterobacteriaceae. The record is from RNAcentral.
CCCUUUGGGGUGUGACUGCGUACCUUUUGUAUAAUGGGUCAGCGACUUAUAUUCUGUAGCAAGGUUAACCGUAUAGGGGAGCCGUAGGGAAACCGAGUCUUAACCGGGCGUUAAGUUGCAGGGUAUAGACCCGAAACCCGGUGAUCUAGCCAUGGGCAGGUUGAAGGUUGGGUAACACUAACUGGAGGACCGAACCGACUAAUGUUGAAAAAUUAGCGGAUGACCUGUGGCUGGGGGUGAAAGGCCAAUCAAACCGGGAGAUAGCUGGUUCUCCCCGAAAGCUAUUUAGGUAGCGCCUCGUGAAUUCAUCUCCGGGGGUAGAGCACUGUUUCGGCUAGGGGGCCAUCCCGGCUUACCAACCCGAUGCAAACUGCGAAUACCGGAGAAUGUUAUCACGGGAGACACACGGCGGGUGCUAACGUCCGUCGUGAAGAGGGAAACAACCCAGACCGCCAGCUAAGGUCCCAAAGUCAUGGUUAAGUGGGAAACGAUGUGGGAAGGCCCAGACAGCCAGGAUGUUGGCUUAGAAGCAGCCAUCAUUUAAAGAAAGCGUAAUAGCUCACUGGUCGAGUCGGCCUGCGCGGAAGAUGUAACGGGGCUAAACCAUGCACCGAAGCUGCGGCAGCGACGCUGAUGCGUUGUUGGGUAGGGGAGCGUUCUGUAAGCCUGCGAAGGUGACCUGUGAGGGUUGCUGGAGGUAUCAGAAGUGCGAAUGCUGACAUAAGUAACGAUAAAGCGGGUGAAAAGCCCGCUCGCCGGAAGACCAAGGGUUCCUGUCCAACGUUAAUCGGGGCAGGGUGAGUCGACCCCUAAGGCGAGGCCGAAAGGCGUAGUCGAUGGGAAACGGGUUAAUAUUCCCGUACUUGGUGUUACUGCGAAGGGGGGACGGAGAAGGCUAUGUUGGCCGGGCGACGGUUGUCCCGGUUUAAGCGUGUAGGUGUGUGUUCCAGGUAAAUCCGGUUCACUUUAACACUGAGGCGUGACGACGAGGCACUACGGUGCUGAAGCAACAAAUGCCCUGCUUCCAGGAAAAGCCUCUAAGCAUCAGGUAACAUCAAAUCGUACCCCAAACCGACACAGGUGGUCAGGUAGAGAAUACCAAGGCGCUUGAGAGAACUCGGGUGAAGGAACUAGGCAAAAUGGUGCCGUAACUUCGGGAGAAGGCACGCUGACACGUAGGUGAAGUGAUUUACUCAUGGAGCUGAAGUCAGUCGAAGAUACCAGCUGGCUGCAACUGUUUAUUAAAAACACAGCACUGUGCAAACACGAAAGUGGACGUAUACGGUGUGACGCCUGCCCGGUGCCGGAAGGUUAAUUGAUGGGGUCAGCGCAAGCGAAGCUCCUGAUCGAAGCCCCGGUAAACGGCGGCCGUAACUAUAACGGUCCUAAGGUAGCGAAAUUCCUUGUCGGGUAAGUUCCGACCUGCACGAAUGGCGUAAUGAUGGCCAGGCUGUCUCCACCCGAGACUCAGUGAAAUUGAACUCGCUGUGAAGAUGCAGUGUACCCGCGGCAAGACGGAAAGACCCCGUGAACCUUUACUAUAGCUUGACACUGAACAUUGAGCCUUGAUGUGUAG